This 253-nucleotide ribosomal RNA is filed under the name uncultured bacterium. RNAcentral describes it as "partial 16S ribosomal RNA". It matches the Rfam family "Bacterial small subunit ribosomal RNA", at positions 524 to 776 of the family's 1533-position model. The record is from RNAcentral.
UACGUAGGCAGCGAGCGUUGUUCGGAAUUACUGGGCGUAAAGAGUGUGUAGGCGGCUCUGUAAGUUCUGUGUGAAAUCUCCCGGCUCAACUGGGAGGGUGCGCCGAAUACUGCAAGGCUUGAGUACUGGAGAGGAUAGCGGAAUUCCUGGUGUAGCGGUGAAAUGCGUAGAUAUCAGGAGGAACACCGGCGGUGUAGACGGCUAUCUGGACAGUAACUGACGCUGAGACACGAAAGCGUGGGGAGCAAACAGG